This 375-nucleotide unclassified non-coding RNA is filed under the name uncultured bacterium. Its description in RNAcentral is "contains 16S-23S intergenic spacer region". The record is from RNAcentral.
UCCGGGUUGACCCCGGCAGUCUCCCAUGAGUCCCCAACCAAAUGCUGGCAACAUGGAACGAGGGUUGCGCUCGUUGCGGGACUUAACCCAACAUCUCACGACACGAGCUGACGACAGCCAUGCAGCACCUCCCGGCCCGUCCCGAAGGAAAGCUCCCUUUCAGGAGCCGGCAGGCCGGAUUUAGCCCAGGUAAGGUUCUUCGCGUUGCAUCGAAUUAAGCCACAUACUCCACCGCUUGUGCGGGCCCCCGUCAAUUCCUUUGAGUUUCAGUCUUGCGACCGUACUCCCCAGGCGGCGAACUUAACGCGUUAGCUUCGAUACUGAAGGCCUGAUUGCCCCCAACAUCCAGUUCGCAUCGUUUAGGGCGUGGACUAC